GGGCGCCGUGGAGCAGGGGGCGGCGCUCGUCCAGGAGGCUCAGGCUGCACAGGAGCCCACGGCGCCGGGGGCUGGGGAGGCUCAGGCAUGGCGAGCUGCAGGCCGCGAGCCCUGCCCCGCGGGGAGGCAGCUAAGGCCCGCGAAAAAUCGAGCGCAGCGCGGGUGGAUUGGCCCAGCUGGGGUACCUGGCGCACCCCCCGCAGCUGCUGGCCCCGGUGCUAAGCCCCUCACUGCCCGGGGCCGGGCCGGGCCGGGCCGGCCGGUUGGCAGCUCCGAGUGCGGGGCCCGCCAAGCCCACGCCCAUCCGGAACUCUAGCUGGCCUGCAAGCGCGGCGCGCAGCCCCAGUUCCCGCCCGUGCCUCUCUCCACACCUCCGGGCAAGCUGAGGGAGCAGGCUCCGCCCUCAACCAGACCAGAGAGGGGCCCCCACAGCGCAGUGGCGGGCUGAAGGGUUCCCCGAGCAUGGCCAGAGCGGACACUGAGUCCGAGGAGGCACCAAGAGCGAGCGAGCGCUGCAAGGGCUGCCAGAACGCUGUCACCUCUCAAUAGGAAAAAAAUGACUUUGAGGAGUUUCAUCGGAGCCUGAGUUUCAGCAUUAUGCGAGGGUGACCAUGAAAUUUGAGUGGCUGCUCUUCAGAUAACCUCAUUGUUAUCUGCUGUUUGGAGAGGCUUA
Molecule: long non-coding RNA, 673 nt
Filed under: Homo sapiens (human)
Lineage: Eukaryota; Metazoa; Chordata; Mammalia; Primates; Hominidae
Description: HSALNT0010201
Source: RNAcentral